This 45-nucleotide non-coding RNA is filed under the name Schistosoma mansoni. The record is from RNAcentral. Lineage: Eukaryota; Metazoa; Platyhelminthes; Trematoda; Strigeidida; Schistosomatidae.
AUCCAACUGACAGGUCCCAAACAGGACGAAACAUAUGUCUUGGAU